CAUACACUUACUUGCUAUUCUGGUUUCAUCUAUUACUGUUUGAAUUUCAACAGACCAUAGAACAGAUCCUCUUGUCUUGGUGUCCUGCCUGGGUGUAGCAUUAGGUGUCACGUUCACCUUGAUCAUUGUCCUGGUUUGCAUCAUGUACAAGAUGAACAACACAACAUGUGUGCAGUGCAGAGGACUCGUCUCUCAGACCAGAGGUCCUGCAGUUACCCAGUCAGAUGCAGGGGACCAAGAUGGAAACAGUCUCCAUUACGUAGCUCUGAAUCUGAGCAACAAGAAGAACAGGUCUAGAAGACAGAGAGGUCACAUGGAGACAGUGGUGUACGCUGGAAUCAGACAGUAGAACUGGAUGAAUGAAACAAUUAUCAUUUUAUACUAGAUAACUCUUUAAUAACUAGUUCUAGCUUCAUUAACUAUCUAUGAAUGCAUAAGCAGUCAAACGUGAUAAAAACAGUGGUCAUAGCUUUUUUGUUAUACAAUGUUGAAAUAAUUGAAUGCAUUGCUAUUUUUUGUUGUUGUUGAAUAAUAAUUAUAAUAAUAAUAAUAAUAAUAGUAAUAAUUAGGGGGGUGCUUAUAUUUGUCUUGGUACACAAGUGUGUAAUGGAAAUGUUUUUUUUGUUGCUAAUCCCAACUCCCCCUGAGGCACCCACAGGGAGUGGGUUCAUAGCCAGGGUCACCAUUGUACAGCACACCUGGA
Salmo salar (Atlantic salmon) is the source of this 703-nucleotide non-coding RNA. The record is from RefSeq and is a predicted model, not a curated record. NCBI's taxonomy places the organism in Eukaryota, Metazoa, Chordata, Actinopteri, Salmoniformes, Salmonidae.